ACUUUAUCUCAAAAAUAAACCAUCAAGAAAAAGUUGUACAGAUGAUGACCUAUCUACCCAUAGUUGGCUUCUGACAUUAGUUAUGUCACCAUAGGGAACUUAUGUUAAAUAAGUCUACCAUCAGUUUCCUUCGUCUCACAUUCCGUGUCAAAGCCCUAGGUCUUCAAAUAGUUGCCGACUACCAUCAGUUGGCUUCAGAUGAUGGCUUAGUUCACCAUCAUCGAAGUUAUCUCCAUCUCAAAGUUAGACUUGGUGUUGACUUUUUGGAAGCUUUUGCUCAUUGCUGAUAUAUUCUAAUAGUGGAUCUCCUUUUGAAGGUGACUAGUCUGGUCGCUGCCAGUUUCGAAAAGUACUAGUUCGGAUGUGAAGGUUUGG
This 375-nucleotide long non-coding RNA is filed under the name Phoenix dactylifera (date palm). RNAcentral's name for it is "long non-coding RNA (PDAC_LNC005550)". Lineage: Eukaryota; Viridiplantae; Streptophyta; Magnoliopsida; Arecales; Arecaceae. The record is from RNAcentral.